AGUACCCGAAGGAAUAGAAAUCAACCGAGAUUCUGCUAGUAGCGGCGAGCGAACGCGGAAGAGCCCAAACCAUCAGGUGCGCCUGAUGGGGUUGUAGGGCCGUCAAUAAAGGAUAAUUGGAGAAUUAGCUGAAGUGUCUGGGAAGGCACGGCACAGAGGGUUAGACCCCCGUAAGCGAAAGUUUGAAGAUGUCCGAGACGGUACCUGAGUAGGACGGGACACGAGAAAUCCCGUUUGAAUCUGGGGGGACCACCCUCCAAGGNNNNNNNNNNCGUGAGGGAAAGGUGAAAAGCACCUCGAAUAGAGGAGUGAAAUAGAUCCUGAAACCCUGUGUCUACAAGCAGUGGAAGCACUACUGAUCUUCGGAUCAUGUGCGACCGCGUGCCUUUUGCAUAAUGAGCCAACGAGUUGUCUGUCGGUGGCAGGUUAAGUUUUUAACGAAGCCACAGCGAAAGCGAGUCCGAAAUGGGCGUUAGUCAUCGGCAACAGACCCGAAACCGAGUGAUCUACCCCUGUCCAGGUUGAAGCCUGGGUAAGACCAGGUGGAAGACCGAACCGUUGAGCCUUAAAACGUUCUCGGAUGAGGUGGGGGUAGGAGUGAAAGGCGANNNNNNNNNNGAAAUAUAUUGAGGUAUAGCCUCGUGAUAGACCGCCGGAGGUAGAGCACUGGAUGGACUAGGGCCCUCACCAGGGUACCAAACCCAACCAAACUGCGAAUACCGGCGAGUUGUUUCACGGGAGUCAGACAGCGGGAGCUAACUUUCGUUGUCGAGAGGGAAACAACCCAGACCAUCAGCUAAGGCCCCCAAGUCAUGACUAAGUGGGAAAGGAAGUGGGAGCGCCCAGACAACCAGGAGGUUGGCUUAGAAGCAGCCACCCUUUAAAGAAAGCGUAACAGCUCACUGGUCGAGCGAGCCUGCACCGAAAAUAUAACGGGGCUCAAGUCAUGCGCCGAAGCUAUGGGAUUUAUAUUUAUAUAAAUCGGUAGGGGAGCGUUCCCUGUGCGGCGAAGCUGAAUCGAGAGGGUCAGUGGAGCGCAGUCGAUGGAAAACCGGUUCAUAUUCCGGUACUUGCAUGUGCGCGUGAUGGAGGGACGCAGGAGGAUAGCCCGGCCAAGUGAUGGAUAUCUUGGUUCAAGGCCGUAGGCGGAAGUCUCAGGUAAAUCCGGGACUUCUAUAACGCCGAGAGUCGAUGACGAGAGGCUUUGCUUCGCAAAGCGGUCGAUUCCACACUGCCAAGAAAAGCUUCUAAGCAUAGCACAGGCAAACCGUAC
Molecule: ribosomal RNA, 1273 nt
Filed under: Candidatus Peribacteraceae bacterium
Lineage: Bacteria; Candidatus Peregrinibacteriota; Candidatus Peribacteria; Candidatus Peribacterales
Description: partial 23S ribosomal RNA
Rfam family: Bacterial large subunit ribosomal RNA
Source: RNAcentral